This is a non-coding RNA of Delphinapterus leucas (beluga whale), 384 nucleotides long. Lineage: Eukaryota; Metazoa; Chordata; Mammalia; Artiodactyla; Monodontidae. The record is from RefSeq and is a predicted model, not a curated record.
UGAGGGCCUUGGAGGGUGGGCCGCCUGGGGCAGCUGGAGUUGAGGAGGAUGUAGCUGUUACCAGAGCCACUGAACAGACCAGGGAGGGAUCGGGGAAGAAGCGCCCCCAACUCCUUCUCUUCACACCCCUCAUCUACUGCUGGGCGGGCAGCCAGUUGCAAGACAGCAGGCCAGCCAGGGCAGGAGCAGGGCAGAGGAGGUGGAGGACCAGAGCGGCCAGCACAGAAAACCAAAUCCCAGCUCUCUGGGCUACAGGUUCCUGUUGGAGGACACGGAUCAAAAAACAGGCUUAUAUCCGAUUCUACUGGGAGCCGUUCUAUUCAUGAAGCAUCUUCUGUUUGCUCUCUAGACGGGGAACGGGCUGAGGAAGCUCCAGGAAACAGG